This 469-nucleotide ribosomal RNA is filed under the name uncultured bacterium. Its description in RNAcentral is "bacterial SSU rRNA". It matches the Rfam family "Bacterial small subunit ribosomal RNA", at positions 335 to 796 of the family's 1533-position model. The record is from RNAcentral.
ACUCCUACGGGAGGCAGCAGUGGGGAAUAUUGGACAAUGGGCGAAAGCCUGAUCCAGCAAUGCCGCGUGUGUGAAGAAGGCCUGCGGGUUGUAAAGCACUUUCAGUAGAGAAGAAAAGCCUGGGACUAAUACUCCCGGGUCUUGACGUAACCUACAGAAGAAGCACCGGCUAACUCCGUGCCAGCAGCCGCGGUAAUACGGAGGGUGCAAGCGUUAAUCGGAAUUACUGGGCGUAAAGCGUGCGUAGGCGGUUGAGUAAGUCGGAUGUGAAAGCCCCGGGCUUAACCUGGGAAUUGCAUUCGAUACUGCUCAACUAGAGUAUGGGAGAGGGAAGUGGAAUUUCCGGUGUAGCGGUGAAAUGCGUAGAUAUCGGAAGGAACACCAGUGGCGAAGGCGACUUCCUGGACCAAUACUGACGCUCAGGCACGAAAGCGUGGGGAGCAAACAGGAUUAGAAACCCCGGUAGUCC